GGCGGCAGGCUUAAAACAUGCAAGUCGAGCGGAGAUGAGGUGCUUGCACCUUAUCUUAGCGGCGGACGGGUGAGUAAUGCUUAGGAAUCUGCCUAUUAGUGGGGGACAACAUUCCGAAAGGAAUGCUAAUACCGCAUACGUCCUACGGGAGAAAGCAGGGGAUCUUCGGACCUUGCGCUAAUAGAUGAGCCUAAGUCGGAUUAGCUAGUUGGUGGGGUAAAGGCCUACCAAGGCGACGAUCUGUAGCGGGUCUGAGAGGAUGAUCCGCCACACUGGGACUGAGACACGGCCCAGACUCCUACGGGAGGCAGCAGUGGGGAAUAUUGGACAAUGGGGGGAACCCUGAUCCAGCCAUGCCGCGUGUGUGAAGAAGGCCUUAUGGUUGUAAAGCACUUUAAGCGAGGAGGAGGCUACUGAGACUAAUACUCUUGGAUAGUGGACGUUACUCGCAGAAUAAGCACCGGCUAACUCUGUGCCAGCAGCCGCGGUAAUACAGAGGGUGCGAGCGUUAAUCGGAUUUACUGGGCGUAAAGCGUGCGUAGGCGGCUUUUUAAGUCGGAUGUGAAAUCCCCGAGCUUAACUUGGGAAUUGCAUUCGAUACUGGGAAGCUAGAGUAUGGGAGAGGAUGGUAGAAUUCCAGGUGUAGCGGUGAAAUGCGUAGAGAUCUGGAGGAAUACCGAUGGCGAAGGCAGCCAUCUGGCCUAAUACUGACGCUGAGGUACGAAAGCAUGGGGGAGCAAACAGGAUUAGAUACCCUGGUAGUCCAUGCCGUAAACGAUGUCUACUAGCCGUUGGGGCCUUUGAGGCUUUAGUGGCGCAGC
Molecule: ribosomal RNA, 821 nt
Filed under: Acinetobacter junii
Lineage: Bacteria; Pseudomonadati; Pseudomonadota; Gammaproteobacteria; Moraxellales; Moraxellaceae
Description: bacterial SSU rRNA
Rfam family: Bacterial small subunit ribosomal RNA
Source: RNAcentral